Cuculus canorus (common cuckoo) is the source of this 1658-nucleotide long non-coding RNA. RefSeq lists it as uncharacterized. Lineage: Eukaryota; Metazoa; Chordata; Aves; Cuculiformes; Cuculidae. The transcript is spliced from 3 exons. The record is from RefSeq and is a predicted model, not a curated record.
AAGGUUCCUCAAUGGUUCCUCCUCAAAGGUUCCUCCUCAACCUUCCAGAAGGUUCCUCAACCUCCUCUAAGGUUUCUCCUCAAAGCUCUCUCCUCAAAGGUCUCUCAUCAACCUCCUCAAUGGUUCCUCCUCAAAAGUUCCUCCUCAACCUUCUAGAAGGUUCCUCAAUCUCCCUGAAGGUUUCUCCUCAACCUCCUCUAAGGUUUCUCCUCAAAAGUCUCUCCUCAAUGUCCCCAAAGGUUUCUCCUCAACUUCCUCAAUGGUUCCUCCUCUAAGGUUUCUCCUCAACGUUCUCAAAGGUUUCUCCUCAACGUCCUCUGAAGGUUUCUGCUCAACCUUCUAAAAGGUUCCUCGAAGGUUCCUCCUCAAUAGUUCCUCCUCAACCUUCCAGAAGGUUCCUCAACUUCCUCAAAGGUCUCUCCUCAACGUCCCCAAAGGUUUCUCCUCAACCUUCUAAAAGGUCUCUCCUCAACCUCCUCAAAGGUUCCUCCUCAAAGGUUUCUCCUCAACCUCCUCAAAGGCUUCUUCUCAACAUCCCCUGAAGGCUUCUCCUCAACCUUCCAGAAGGUUCCUCAACCUCCUCAAAGGUCUCUCCUCAACCUCCUCCAUGGUUCCUCCUCAACCUUCUAGAAGGUUCCUCAACCUCCCUGAAGGUUUCUCCUCAGAGGUCUCUCCUCAACCCCCUCAAAGGUUCCUCCUCAAAGGCUUCUCCUCAACCUUCCAGAAGGUUCCUCAACCUCCUCAAAGGUUUCUCCUCAACAUCCCCAAAGGUUCCUCCUCAACGUCCCCUGAAGGUUUCUGCUCAACCUUCUAAAAGGUUCCUCAAAGGUUCCUCCUCAACCUUCCAGAAGGUUCCUCAACUUCCUCAAAGGUUUCUCCUCAACCUUCUAAAAGGUCUCUCCUCAACCCCCUCAAAGGUCUCUCCUCAGCCUCCCCUGAAGGUUCCUUCUCAACCUUCCAGAAGGUUCCUCAACCUCCUCAAAGGUUUCUCCUCAACAUCCCCAAAAGUCUUUCCUCAACCUCCCCAGAGGUCUCUCCUCAAAGGUUUCUCCUCAAUGUCCUCAAACGUUUUUCCUCAACAUCCCCUGAAGGUUCCUCCUCAACCUUCCAGAAGGUUCCUCAACCUCCCCUGAAGGUCUCUCCUCAACCUCCUCAAAGGUUCCUCCUCAAAGGUCUCUCCUCAAACCUUCCAGAAGGUUCCUCAACCUCCUCAAAGGUUCCUCCUCAAAGGUUUCCUCUCAACCUCCUCAAAGGUUCCUUCUCAACCUUCCAGAAGGUUCCUCAGCCUCCUCAAAGAUCUCUCCUCGCACUCCCGAAGGUCCCUCCUCAAGGUCCCACCUCAACCUUCUCCCUUCUGAGCUCCGAGCGCUUCUUCUCGACCCAUCCCACCGCUCGCAGCCGUGUCCGGCGGCACCGGAGCCUCCCGAGGCCGUGUCCUCCUCCAGGACCUUCUCCACCCACCCUUUACAUUGAGAAGAAACCUUCUGGAGAGGUGACGAUGGAGUUCCACCACCUCCGAACAAAGACCUCACGGACCCAUUUCUACUGGUGAGGAACCUUCUCAAGACCUUCUGUCCCUCAACCCCUUUUCCACCCGGACGUUCCUCCAUCGUUCCAUGGAAUCGAAGUGGGACAACCCCAGAAGGGACCUCAGAGAC